CAACGCUUUUAUCAAAUUACUCAAGCACGUUAGUCAAUUAUAUGCACUCCUACAUAUACUCAAGUUGAGAAAGGGAUAUCAUUGAUUAUUAAUGUUGGGAUCGAAAGAGACUUAUACGUUGACUCCCGAAUAAGAUAUUUAUAUUUAAUUUCUAUGUUAACUUCUAAAUACAAUAUUUGUACUUUCCUUUCCUAUCGUCUUGCAGGAGAUGGUAGGCAUACAGAUCACGAGGAACAUAUUGAGGGAGAUGAGAAUGAGAGUCAAGGAGUACGUAUCACUACUACUCGAGAUUGCAACUCAAUUCUACUGCUGCCGAAGAUUUUAUUUUGGACAGCUCUAUUCUUCUCAUUUUUUGGAACUUCAAUAGGCUUUUUUAUUGUCUAUGAUAUUGUUUUGGACUAUGUCUAUGUACAUAGUUACUCAUUCUGGAAUUAAAACUGACUUGUAAGGUCAUUUUGCCUUGCAUCUACUUUGUUAAAAGGCUUUUGAACUAUGACUAUUGCAUUGUGAUUUCAAAUACAUCUUGAUUUUAAUUUUUGUUGGUGCA
RNAcentral lists this long non-coding RNA (547 nucleotides) under Olea europaea subsp. europaea. Lineage: Eukaryota; Viridiplantae; Streptophyta; Magnoliopsida; Lamiales; Oleaceae. The record is from RNAcentral.